Molecule: ribosomal RNA, 1416 nt
Filed under: uncultured prokaryote
Description: partial 16S ribosomal RNA
Rfam family: Bacterial small subunit ribosomal RNA
Source: RNAcentral
GGAUGAACGCUGGCGGUAUGCCUAACAAUACACAUGCAAGUCGAACGAACCUUCGGGUUAGUGGCGGACGGGUGAGUAACGCGUGAGAAUCUGCCCUCAGGAGGGGGAUAACGGCUGGAAACGGCCGCUAAUACCCCAUAUGCCGAGAGGGGAAAUGAAUUAUUGCCUGAAGAUGGGCUCGCGUCUGAUUAGCUAGUUGGGGGUGUAAGGGACCACCAAGGCAACGAUCAGUAGCUGGUCUGAGAGGAUGAGCAGCCACACUGGGACUGAGACACGGCCCAGACUCCUACGGGAGGCAGCAGUGGGGAAUUUUCCGCAAUGGGCGAAAGCCUGACGGAGCAAUACCGCGUGAGGGAGGAAGGUCUUUGGAUUGUAAACCUCUUUUAUUAGGGAAGAAGUUCUGACGGUACCUAAUGAAUAAGCAUCGGCUAACUCCGUGCCAGCAGCCGCGGUAAUACGGAGGAUGCGAGCGUUAUCCGGAAUUAUUGGGCGUAAAGAGUCCGUAGGUGGUUUAGCAAGUCUGCCGUUAAAGAAUGGAGCUUAACUCCAUAGGGGCGGUGGAAACUGUGAGACUAGAGUACAGUAGGGGUAGCAGGAAUUCCCAGUGUAGCGGUGAAAUGCGUAGAUAUUGGGAAGAACAUCGGUGGCGAAAGCGUGCUACUGGGGCUGAAACUGACACUGAGGGACGAAAGCUAGGGUAGCGAAAGGGAUUAGAUACCCCUGUAGUCCUAGCCGUAAACGAUGGAUACUAGGCGAGGCUUGUAUCGACCCGAGCCGUGCCGAAGCUAACGCGUUAAGUAUCCCGCCUGGGGAGUACGCACGCAAGUGUGAAACUCAAAGGAAUUGACGGGGGCCCGCACAAGCGGUGGAGUAUGUGGUUUAAUUCGAUGCAACGCGAAGAACCUUACCAAGGCUUGACAUCCCUGGAAUCCUUGUGAAAGCGAGGAGUGCCUUAGGGAGCCAGGAGACAGGUGGUGCAUGGCUGUCGUCAGCUCGUGUCGUGAGAUGUUGGGUUAAGUCCCGCAACGAGCGCAACCCUCGUUUUUAGUUGCCAGCAUUAAGUUGGGCACUCUAGAGAGACUGCCGGUGACAAACCGGAGGAAGGUGGGGAUGACGUCAAGUCAUCAUGCCCCUUACGCCUUGGGCUACACACGUACUACAAUGGUCGGGACAACGGGCAGCCAAUCCGCGAGGACGAGCGAAUCCCAACAAACCCGGCCUCAGUUCAGAUUGCAGGCUGCAACUCGCCUGCAUGAAGGAGGAAUCGCUAGUAAUCGCAGGUCAGAAUACUGCGGUGAAUUCGUUCCCGGGCCUUGUACACACCGCCCGUCACACCAUGGAAGCUGGUCACGCCCGAAGUCGUUACUCUAACCUUUCGAGGAGGAGGGCGCCGAAGGCAGGGCUAGUGACUGGGGU